GACGUAGGGGGCCAGCGUUGUUCGGAAUUACUGGGUGUAAAGGGUUCGUAGGCGGUGCGGCAAGUUGGGAGUGAAAUCUCUGGGCUUAACCCAGAGGCUGCUUCCAAAACUGCUGUGCUUGAGUGUGGGAGAGGCGCGUGGAAUUGCAGGUGUAGCGGUGAAAUGCGUAGAUGUCUGCAGGAACACCCGUGGCGAAAGCGGCGCGCUGGACCACUACUGACGCUGAGGAACGAAAGCUAGGGGAGCAAACAGG
RNAcentral lists this ribosomal RNA (253 nucleotides) under uncultured bacterium. Its description in RNAcentral is "partial 16S ribosomal RNA". It matches the Rfam family "Bacterial small subunit ribosomal RNA", at positions 524 to 776 of the family's 1533-position model. The record is from RNAcentral.